This 253-nucleotide ribosomal RNA is filed under the name uncultured bacterium. RNAcentral's name for it is "partial 16S ribosomal RNA". It matches the Rfam family "Bacterial small subunit ribosomal RNA", at positions 524 to 776 of the family's 1533-position model. The record is from RNAcentral.
UACGUAGGAUGCAAGCGUUGUUCGGAAUUAUUGGGCGUAAAGAGCUCGUAGGCGGUCUGUCGCGUCUGCUGUGAAAACUCGGGGCUUAACCCCGGGCCUGCAGUGGGUACGGGCAGACUAGAGUGCGGUAGGGGAGACUGGAAUUCCUGGUGUAGCGGUGAAAUGCGCAGAUAUCAGGAGGAACACCGAUGGCGAAGGCAGGUCUCUGGGCAUUAACUGACGCUGAGGAGCGAAAGCAUGGGGAGCGAACAGG